AGACGUAGGGGGCAAGCGUUGUCCGGAAUUACUGGGCGUAAAGGGUGCGUAGGCGGCAAUUCAAGUCUGAUGUGAAAUACCCGUGCUUAACAUGGGGGUUGCAUCGGAAACUGAAUAGCUAGAGUGCAGGAGAGGUAAGCGGAAUUCCUAGUGUAGCGGUGAAAUGCAUAGAUAUUAGGAGGAACACCAGUGGCGAAGGCGGCUUACUGGACUGUAACUGACGCUGAAGCACGAAAGCGUGGGGAGC
RNAcentral lists this ribosomal RNA (247 nucleotides) under uncultured bacterium. RNAcentral's name for it is "partial 16S ribosomal RNA". It matches the Rfam family "Bacterial small subunit ribosomal RNA", at positions 523 to 769 of the family's 1533-position model. The record is from RNAcentral.